RNAcentral lists this ribosomal RNA (477 nucleotides) under Triticum aestivum (bread wheat). RNAcentral's name for it is "partial small subunit ribosomal RNA". Lineage: Eukaryota; Viridiplantae; Streptophyta; Magnoliopsida; Poales; Poaceae. The record is from RNAcentral.
CUUGAGCACUAUUUGCGCUGCGCCGUCCACGACACUCGUCACCGCUGGAAGCGCUGGCUACCAAUGGCAGAGUUCUGGUAUAAUUCAAGCCAUCACAGUGCCAUCAAAUGUUCGCCAUUCAAGGCUCUGUAUGGAGUGGAACCAAAUUUUGGUGCUCUUCCCAACCUAUUCAACACCAAGACACCAGAAUCGCUGCAUCAGCUGGCGGCAGAGCACCAACAGUUCACCGAGAUGCUGAAAACCCAUCUGCUGCGUGCACAACAUCGAAUGAAACAUCAAGCAGACCGCAAGCGCACCAACAGGGAAUUUCAAGUAGGAGAUCAGGUCUUACUCAAGCUGCAGCCCUAUGUUCAGUCUUCCAUGGUGAGCAGACCAUGUCCAAAGCUCGCGUACAAAUUCUUUGGGCCAUACAAGGUCAUCAGCCGCGUCGGAUCCCUCGCAUACAAGCUUGACUUGCCUCGGGAAAGUAAGAUUCAU